RNAcentral lists this long non-coding RNA (3706 nucleotides) under Marmota monax (woodchuck). The record is from RNAcentral. Lineage: Eukaryota; Metazoa; Chordata; Mammalia; Rodentia; Sciuridae.
GCCAGCCUCAGCAACAGUGAGGCCCUGUCUCUAAAUAAAAUACAAAAUUGGGCUGGGGAUGUGGCUCAGUGGUCGAGUACCUCUGAGCUCAAUCCCUAGUACCCCCCCUCCACAAAAAUGGGAACAUUAAAUCUUUCCUCUUCUACUCCCAACACGAGCAGCCAUCUGCUGGACAUUGGUAUAUGGGUAAGGUGACGUGCUUAAAAGGAAUGAGCUGCCCCAAGUCAGUCAGGAAAGGCCUCUUUUCCCCUUUGGUUCCCAGUUCUUGGUAGAAGCCCUUGGGUGGGGGAGCUCUUGGCCUCUGUCAUCUUCACAGGUCAUGAGGGGUGUCACCUUGUCCUCCCUUUCCCGUUCGGGGCUUUCCUUCCUGAAGUGCCCUUCCUUCAGAGCAGCUGUUUUCUCCUUUUCCCUUCUGAGGUCCUUUGGCCUGUGUCUCCUAGGGUAUCUUGAUUAAAGCCCUUUUUGUCCCCAAUUUUUUAGGGCCCACUUUUCUUUGGCUUACUUGUUCUCUGGUAGAGAGGACAAUUUGAGCCUUUUGUCUGUUUCUCUUCACUCUUCUUUACAUAUAGUUUUUGUGAUUCCCUCAAUAAUUAGUCUAGAUUUUAUCCUUCCAGUUUUCUAGUUUCUGGAAUUUUCUAGCAAUAUCAGGCCAGCCAUUAGUCACAAAGUGUAGUUUUAACAUUUUUGCCCUAAGGGGCCAUCAAUAUCUACUCCAGAAUAUCUCCUCAUCUGCUCCUAAAAUCUACCCAAAACUUCUGCUGGCGCUUCAUCUUUCCCUUGCUGAACAUCAAAGCCUUGGCUUUUCCCUUUACAGUUAAAUCUCUGUGAUCUCCUGUGGGCCCUGUGUAUUUCAUAAUUAUUACCCCAGCAGGGCCCUUGACGUGGGCAGGCAGAACCUGAUCUGGCUGCCGACACUGUUCUCCAGAUCAUUCCCUGUCCCGUCCAGAAAGUAAAAUACUCAAGAUGGACAUAAGCUUGGUCCAGGUGUAAAGCUGGGGGCCGUGGAAUUGGUCUAAGUGGUCUGUAGCCCCAUGGUGUGGGUCUUCUCACAGACCCUUUGGUUCCUGUUUUAAAUGUCUCACCUCUACAGUUAAGGCAGCAUUUACAAAUCGGAUUUCUCCACCCCUGAGGGAAACUUCCCCCUAAGGGUCCAGUGGACAGUACCAGGGAAAGAUGAGAUGCUGGUUCCACAUGACAGGAGGGGGUUCUGAGUGUCCUUUUAUCGUUGUUUCAACUCCUUCCUUAGCUUUCACAGCCAAGGAUACAGAAGGGUGGAGGCCCCUGGAUGGGCUCAGAUUCCUCCAGCUUUCAUUGUUGGAUGAUAUUGGCCUUGAGGAGCGCUCGGGUUUGAGCCAGAAUUUCAGCCACCAGGCUAGGGUGGUGGAAGAUUGGCUGGGGAUCCCACUUGUUUGGCUCCCCCUCUGGCUUUUAGGAAUCUUAAGGGGGAAAUGACCACAGGUCCUUUUCUUUAGGAGAAGGUAGAAUCUAUUUCCUCUGGUAGAACUAUUUUUUUUUAAUAUUUAUUUUUUAGUUGUAGUUGGACACAUGCCUUUAUUUAUAUAUGGUGCUGAGGAUCAAACCCAGGGCCUUGCCUUGCUAGGCUCUACCACUGAGCCACAGCCCCAGGCCUAGAACCAACAUUUUAACAUAAGGCCCAGAGAACUCUCUAGGGGAAUGUUGAUGUCUUUCCCCUGCCAGUGUUCUUUUUCUCUAGAAUAUAUUCUUUAUUCCCAUCAAGCUUUCCUGGGGCUGGCCUCCUGUCCCUGAAUAGAGUUUCGCCCUCCUGGCUACAGGCUCCCUGCACUCCUCCCCCAGAUAUCUGGCCAGAUGUCCCGACCACCAAGGAAGUACAUUUUUUCCUCCCUUAGUCUGCUGAUGGAUCUGGUCCCCACGGUGCUUGCUGGGCCCUUCCUGGUAUUGCUGAUCCACUUUUGCUUUGGGGUCUGGCCUCAGAGAUCCAGGUUUCCUCCCCCACCCUGGCCCCCUAGGCAAUGUAUGGAGCCCCACGUUACACCCCCAAAUUUGCUAGAAAUACCGGAUGCCAUGAGAAAUCACACAUACUUGGAAGUAGCUGGGCAGGGCAAAUUUUACUUCUGCAGAAGGGUGUGCUAGGAACAGAGACUGGCAAGCAGGCACACCUGGGUGGAAAAUCCCAGAUUUUAUCCCUAAGGGAAGCCCUGCCCCUUGUUCUGCUAGGGAUAUAAUCUAUAGGACUGUCUAAUUUAAAAUGGGGGGGGGCAAGGUGAGGUCUCUAGUUAAGGCAUUGUGACUGGAAGAUGGGGCAAAGGGAGAUCAUAUCUGUGGUCUGCGUUCCUGCCCACAUAUAGCAUAGCUGCGAGGUCUAGGCUGGGGAGCGCAAAGUGGUUACAGUUUAACCAUAUGGUUUGUGGCUUAAAAUGGCUCCACCUAACCACACAUUGUGAAGUUCUAAAUCACAGGAAUGGGAUUUUGUUACAGACUGAAAAACUCAGAUACAGGUUUAACUUCCACAGAAAAGAUCAUUAAUCUUACAGUUGAAACGGGGACCGAAUCCCAGUGGGGACAGGUGCCCUAUGCUAUCUUCCUUCCUUUAGUAGGCACAGAGCUGGGUCUUCUGGGCCCCGGGCUGGAGGGGCACUACCGAGCUCAGGACCCGGUCUGCAUACAGCUAAGGUCGGAGCCCCGAGGGAUCGGAGCCCCGAGGCCGCACAAGAGGGCGGUGCGAGGGUGACAGCAUCGGGCCUCUGGACUGAGCGCACAAGAGCCACCCAUUGCACAGAUGCGCAGGCUGAGGCACGCGGGGCCGCGGCUGGCACGACGCGGGGUGGGGACAUGGAGCCCCCAGCCAGAUGGGACUUUUAGAGCCAGGGUCUUCAGACAUCCUCCCUCAAGGGACUUCCUAGGGACAUGCCGGUGUGGAAUGGGGAGGGACUUAGGUCCUGAAAGGAAAGUGACCACAACACUCGAGCAACCAAGAGAUCUUUUUGCAGAAGUGCAACAGAGGAGAAAAGAGAGAGAGAGGAGAGCAUGCGCGCAAGGGAAACAAAGAGAUCAAGAGAGACAGCAAGAGAGAGAGGGGCCCAGCAGGAGGGAGUUUUUAUAGCCCAAAUCUAACGGGGCCUCUGGGUCUGCAAGCUGCCUUGUUGGCACAAGGGAGGGUUGAGUGUUCAGCCUUGAGUGGGGGUUGAAUGUUCAGCUUUGAUGCAAACAGGUGAUAAAGGACCAGACAGAGUGGGGUUUGAGUGCGUGGGCCAUCCUGCAGCUAACAUUUGUUCAGCCUGCCCUGCAGAUAACGUAGUUCAGCCUGUUCUGCACCCAACAGGUCAGAGUCCCCGGACCUUGGUACAUGCCCUGGUCUGCCAUCAGCGAGUGCGUUUGGCCGGUGCCUGGCUGCGCUCCCUGCGCCCAGCACCAGCUAAGCGCGGUCUCGCUGAGUUGCUUAAGGCCUCACUUAGUUGCAGAGGCUGGCUUUGAACUGCCAACCUCCUGCCUCAGCCUCCCGAGCCACUGGGACAGGUGUGCUCCACCGCGCCUGGCUAGCCCUGGGCUUUUUUCAUGCCUGUUUUACCCACAUGGAAAGAGGCUCUGCGGGGACCCAAUGGCUAAAUAAAGAAGAAGCCAGCAUUCAAAAAUCCGUGCCUUUAGGCUGGUACUUGUGGGAAUUCGAGUUCUUUAAACCCGUGUGCAAGGUCAAAACUGCUUCAAGCUCCUUAGAAGUAGCGCAGGG